Molecule: ribosomal RNA, 481 nt
Filed under: uncultured bacterium
Lineage: Bacteria
Description: bacterial SSU rRNA
Rfam family: Bacterial small subunit ribosomal RNA
Source: RNAcentral
AAUCAACGCUGGCGGCGUGCCUCAGACAUGCAAGUCGAACGAUUAAAGCUCUCUUCGGAGAGUGCAUAGAGUGGCGCACGGGUGAGUAACACGUAAGUAAUCUACCUUCGAGUGGGGAAUAACGUCCGGAAACGGACGCUAAUACCGCAUAAUGCAGCGGCAUCGUAAGAUGACAGUUGUUAAAGAUUUAUCGCUUGAAGAGGAGCUUGCGGCAGAUUAGCUAGUUGGUAAGGUAAUGGCUUACCAAGGCUACGAUCUGUAACCGGUCUUAGAGGACGGUCGGUCACACUGACACUGAAUAACGGGUCAGACUCCUACGGAGGCAGCAGUCGGGAAUUUUGGGCAAUGGGCGAAAGCCUGACCCAGCAACGCCGCGUGAAGGAUGAAGUAUUUCGGUAUGUAAACUUCGAAAGAAUAGGAAGAAUAAAUGACGGUACUAUUUAUAAGGUCCGGCUAACUACGUGCCAGCAGCCGCGGUAAU